CCCUGCGAAUGUGUUCGGAAGGCUUUCUUUAUCGGUGUUAUUGUACCGUAAAAUCAGAGGCGUUCGAAUGUGAGUUCACGAGACUUCAACCAUAUUUUCUUAGUUCCUGUCAUUUUUCGAGAGGAAGUGGGUGCAGGUUGGAUUAAAUUAUCAAAAAGUGUGAGUAUUUUGCAGUUUUAAUGCUAUCUAUUAGUUUUAUCUUUGUAACCGAGUUCAAAUACAUCUAUAAGCUUUUAAAGUGAGAAGUAUUUUCGUGUAUUUGCAUUUAACUAAAAAUACACAAAAGAGUUAUCGUUCUUGAUUAACCACGCCUCCACGUGGUGUUGUGAAAUUAGAAAAAUACACCUUUUACAUAUAUACGCCACCUAAGUGAUCGUAUUACAGUAAAAAAAAAUAAUGCAUAGCUCUUGGAAAUUUAUUAAGCUGUAUAUUACAACCAAAAUGUGUGGUCUUCAGCAGAGAAAAUUAUAGCCGAUUUCUGAAAAGCAGAAGUGAAGGUGCGGAUCCAAUUAUUUUUUUAAAGAUUGUUGGUGUAUCAAUCAGAUACUUUGAAAAAUAAAGUGAAAUUGGUAAUUUAAAAAAUGUAAAACUCACUCUAAUAACAAAUACAAUCAAACUAACUCUCUCUCUCUCUCUCUCUCUCUCUCUCUCUCUCUCUCUCUCUCUCUCUCUCUCUCUCUCUCUCUCUCUCUCUCUCUCUCAAAUCGUGUAACAAUAUUUACACUACAAAGUUUAAUUAAAUAAAGACAUGUGUCGAUGAUUUCUGUGAUCAAUCUCAACAUGUUAACAUAAAUAUUAAAAACGUUAAAUGGAGGUGUAAUAUUACAUAACUAUAUAUAUAUCUGUUGAUCUUUCUGUCAUUCCAUUAAAUUAUUAAUUGUUUUUAUUAAAUUAUGCAUAUUGCAUGACGUACUAUAAUAGUACGUCAUGCAAUAUACAUAGAUAUAUUCACAGCCACAUGUCUUAAUUAUGGAGUGCUUUGGACACUAAAUUUAUAGACAGUACUUUAUAUCUCUAAUUAGCUUUGUAAAUUGUGCAAUGGGGCUUAUUGUUUGCAAAUAUAAAUGCAAACUACAAUGUUUUUAUUAUAUAAGCCUGCCCCAAGAUAAUUAUAUUAAAUGUGCAGCACAUUUUGGCAAUUAAAAUUCACUGGAAUAUGAAAAACAAAAAAUUUCUUACUGAUCGAGAUCGAUUUAUAAUGUGGAAUUUUGACAUCUUUUUUCCAUUUGGAAGUUAAGUGAGAUACCUCGCAUAAUUUCCAUUGUUAUCAAAUGGGUCUGUUGCUAUUCAAAAUUUCUGUAGACAUCACAAUAUUUAGAUUUUAACAUGUAUACUGAAACCUGAUAAGUUAGAUCAAGGGGGCAUUUCAAGAGCGAGAUGUUGAAAAUUGUUCAUACUUUUGAAUGAACAUUGUUUGAACCCUGAGGUAUUGACAAAAAUAUGAAGUAGUUAUUAAGCAAAAUGUAUAAAAUCUAGCUUUGUUACAACUUACAUGUAUCUUUAUUGGAACAGAUAUUGAUGAAAUGUAAUUUUUUUGUCUCAGAUUUACAUCAACAAAGAACUACUGUGUAUUAAUUAUAUUUGGACCCUCCUACAUGCAUGUAGCUGUUAUAAGGGGUAGAAAAGUAUUAAUUGUUAACGUCUAUUUUCCAUCUGCUUUUUACAUAUACUGGUAAUCUUGUAUAUACAUAAAGAUGCAGAACACUAUGAAUUGAUAACCCAUCUGAUGUAACAACACUAACAAGCUGAUAUGCAGCACAUCACUGGAAGCCAACUAAACAGCAUUUCAAAACCUUUCACCUUUAGCACAGAGUUAGCCAUGCACUUCCCUUAAUCCCUCAUUUAAAGUCACUUUUUUAAAGAUGAAAAAUAAAGUUUGUCGUUUUUAGGAUUAACUGAAGGUCAGACACAGCUAACAUCUUCCCUUUCUCUAUUAUUUCCUAUCUCCAAAAUGUGAAUAUUUCCAUUAAGAAAUUCCAUAAUUAUAUUUUCAUGUAAUGAUACUUUCUUUAUUUAGAUAUAAAGUGUUUGAUUGAAAGUAUAUAAUAUGACUAUUUACAAGCAUUCAAAUGCAUUUUGCUUGCUAUUUUAAGGAACAUUCUAAAUAUUCUAGCUCUGACAAGAGCCUGGUAAUGUACUCAGAAUUUUUUAGAAUUACCGUAACCGGUUUUAAAUGGAUUAAUAUAUCAAGGAAAAUUAUAAAAAAUAUAGGAACAUCUUGUGUGUCCUUAAAGCUGAAUCCAUUAUACUGAGUAUAUCAAUUUAAACUUGCAUUGUUUUGUUUUUAGAAUCAUAUGAUUUACAAAUCACAUGAAACGAAAUACAUGUACUAAAUAUAAUGUACUAUUGUUGAAUAAUUAUUAUUUUAUAUUUGUACAAUCAAAAUGUGAAGCGUUUGAUAUGUAUUAUUCCACAUGAUUAAUUUUUAAUUAGAUACAGUAGAAAAUAUGAAAUGUCAGUUAUUAUGGUUAUUAUCAAGUGUACAUUUUUUGGUAUACAUUAGCUAGACCCACAUCCAGAUAAAAGAUAAUCAAUUAAGUUAUUAGAGUGUAUAUUUUUGAAACUGUCCAACGAUUGCUACAUGUACAUACUUCAAUGACCACAAUUAAUUUUAUGCUGUAUUAUAAGUAUAGCAUGUUAACACAAAUGCGAUUUAACUAGACAUGUUGAGUGUAGAGUGUAUUAUGUACCUCAAUGUAUAAAAAGAUAAAUGAAUUUUGUUAAACAUUGGACACUUACAAUCUUUGUUUACUGUGUCUGAUAUGCUUUGGUUUCAAAAACUAUCAUUUAUGAAGACUCUAUUUUCAAUUCUACCUUUGCAUCAUUGGUGAAUUAUUCUUUUCCAUGCUUUUCAAUGCAUAAAAAGACUGCAAUUUUUUUCAUCAUUACAUUAAAUAUUAGUUAAAAUGAAGUAGUAUACUAUUGUUUUGAAGACUUAUGAUAAAUACGAAAAUUAAUUGUGUGUAUAUAUUUAUAUGUAUAUUUCACCAUAGCUUUUUAGUUACCGGAAUACCCCUCCUUUUUUUUGGGGGGGGGGGGGAUUAAAUGACUAAAGUUUUGCAAUGAAAUGAACAAAUUAAUUUUUAACCAAAAUCAUCUGGUGAAAUGCUAAUAAUCUAAUCUUUUCUAAAUGCACCUUAACAUGUACUAGCUGGUACUAAUCAAUAUCUUAAUAUAUAACUCUAUAUUGCUAUGUCAUCAGAAUUUUUUCACAUCUUUUAUAUUAUGAUAGAAAGUUAUUUUUGGUGAAAGACUGGAACAAACUAUAAACUUUUUAAGGACCUUUGAAUUCUCAUGUGUAUGUAAAAUAAUUACAAUAUGCUGUGAUAUAGUUCAUAUUAGAAAUAUAUGAAAGUGUGUUAAAAUUAUUAGAAUUACAUGUUGCAAACUGUGGUGUAUAGUGAUGUUAUUGUUUUUAGUGAAUACUGAUGUACAAUACAGUUGGAUAUAUUGUUUUGAUUAUAUGUAAAUGUGAUGAAUCUUCUUAUCAAUCAAUAUUAUACAUGUAUAUGUAAAAGAUUGAAAUCUUAUUAAUUUUACCAGACAAAUUGUUAGUAUUGUCCAUUGUCAUUUAGAAUUGUACAUACAACUACAUGUAUUAGGUGGUCCAAUCAUGCUUGGAUUAAAAAAUAACAUUAUAAAAUUUAUUAUGAUUUAUGAAAGAAA
Long non-coding RNA from Magallana angulata, 3666 nucleotides. RefSeq lists it as uncharacterized. The record is from RefSeq and is a predicted model, not a curated record. The transcript has 3 exons. Lineage: Eukaryota; Metazoa; Mollusca; Bivalvia; Ostreida; Ostreidae.